UACGGGGGGGCAAGCGUUGUUCGGAAUUACUGGGCGUAAAGGGCUCGUAGGUGGCCAACUAAGUCAGACGUGAAAUCCCUCGGCUUAACCGGGAACUGCGUCUGAUACUGGAUGGCUUGAGUUCGGGAGAGGGAUGCGGAAUUCCAGGUGUAGCGGUGAAAUGCGUAGAUAUCUGGAGGAACACCGGUGGCGAAGGCGGCAUCCUGGACCGACACUGACACUGAGGAGCGAAAGCCAGGGAGC
Molecule: ribosomal RNA, 243 nt
Filed under: uncultured bacterium
Lineage: Bacteria
Description: partial 16S ribosomal RNA
Rfam family: Bacterial small subunit ribosomal RNA
Source: RNAcentral